AUCCAGCUGACGAGUCCCGAAUAAGACGAAACGCGCAUCCUUGAU
This 45-nucleotide non-coding RNA is filed under the name Schistosoma mattheei. The record is from RNAcentral. Lineage: Eukaryota; Metazoa; Platyhelminthes; Trematoda; Strigeidida; Schistosomatidae.